UGGGGAAUAUUGCGCAAUGGGGGAAACCCUGACGCAGCAACGCCGCGUGAAGGAUGAAGGUUUUCGGAUCGUAAACUUCUUUGAUGAGGGACGAACAAAAUGACGGUACCUCAAAAACAAGCCACGGCUAACUACGUGCCAGCAGCCGCGGUAAUACGUAGGUGGCGAGCGUUGUCCGGAAUUACUGGGUGUAAAGGGCGUGUAGGCGGGGAUGUAAGUCAGAUGUGAAAUUCCAUGGCUCAACUGUGGGGCUGCAUCUGAAACUAUGUCUCUUGAGUGCCGGAGAGGGAAGCGGAAUUCCUAGUGUAGCGGUGAAAUGCGUAGAUAUUACUUAGAACACCAAUUGCGAAGGCAGGUUACCAAGAUAUAACUGACGCUGAGGGACGAAAGCGUGGGGAGCGAACA
RNAcentral lists this ribosomal RNA (405 nucleotides) under uncultured bacterium. RNAcentral's name for it is "bacterial SSU rRNA". It matches the Rfam family "Bacterial small subunit ribosomal RNA", at positions 355 to 774 of the family's 1533-position model. The record is from RNAcentral.